Molecule: ribosomal RNA, 614 nt
Filed under: fungal endophyte
Lineage: Eukaryota; Fungi
Description: eukaryotic LSU rRNA
Rfam family: 5.8S ribosomal RNA (bases 175-328)
Source: RNAcentral
UACUGAGUUUACGCUCUAUAACCCUUUGUGAACAUACCUAUAACUGUUGCUUCGGCGGGUAGGGUCUCCGUGACCCUCCCGGCCUCCCGCCCCCGGGCGGGUCGGCGCCCGCCGGAGGAUAACCAAACUCUGAUUUAACGACGUUUCUUCUGAGUGGUACAAGCAAAUAAUCAAAACUUUUAACAACGGAUCUCUUGGUUCUGGCAUCGAUGAAGAACGCAGCGAAAUGCGAUAAGUAAUGUGAAUUGCAGAAUUCAGUGAAUCAUCGAAUCUUUGAACGCACAUUGCGCCCGCCAGCAUUCUGGCGGGCAUGCCUGUUCGAGCGUCAUUUCAACCCUCAAGCUCUGCUUGGUGUUGGGGCCCUACAGCUGAUGUAGGCCCUCAAAGGUAGUGGCGGACCCUCCCGGAGCCUCCUUUGCGUAGUAACUUUACGUCUCGCACUGGGAUCCGGAGGGACUCUUGCCGUAAAACCCCCAAUUUUCCAAAGGUUGACCUCGGAUCAGGUAGGAAUACCCGCUGAACUUAAGCAUAUCAAUAAGCGGAGGAAAAGAAACCAACAGGGAUUGCCUCAGUAACGGCGAGUGAAGCGGCAACAGCUCAAAUUUGAAAUCUGG